UUCGACUUCGGUGUAAAGUAA
This 21-nucleotide non-coding RNA is filed under the name Arabidopsis thaliana (thale cress). The record is from RNAcentral. Lineage: Eukaryota; Viridiplantae; Streptophyta; Magnoliopsida; Brassicales; Brassicaceae.